AGUGAACGCUGGCGGUAGGCCUAACACAUGCAAGUCGAACGGCAGCACAGUAAGAGCUUGCUCUUACGGGUGGCGAGUGGCGGACGGGUGAGGCAUACAUCGGAAUCUACUUUUUCGUGGGGGAUAACGUAGGGAAAUUUACGCUAAUACCGCAUACGACCUACGGGUGAAAGCAGGGGAUCUUCGGACCUUGCGCGAUUGAAUGAGCCGAUGUCGGAUUAGCUAGUUGGCGGGGUAAAGGCCCACCAAGGCGACGAUCCGUAGCUGGUCUGAGAGGAUGAUCAGCCACACUGGAACUGAGACACGGUCCAGACUCCUACGGGAGGCAGCAGUGGGGAAUAUUGGACAAUGGGCGCAAGCCUGAUCCAGCCAUACCGCGUGGGUGAAGAAGGCCUUCGGGUUGUAAAGCCCUUUUGUUGGGAAAGAAAAGCAGCAGGUUAAUACCCCGCUGUUCUGACGGUACCCAAAGAAUAAGCACCGGCUAACUUCGUG
This 492-nucleotide ribosomal RNA is filed under the name uncultured bacterium. RNAcentral's name for it is "partial 16S ribosomal RNA". It matches the Rfam family "Bacterial small subunit ribosomal RNA", at positions 29 to 507 of the family's 1533-position model. The record is from RNAcentral.